This 515-nucleotide ribosomal RNA is filed under the name uncultured bacterium. RNAcentral describes it as "partial 16S ribosomal RNA". It matches the Rfam family "Bacterial small subunit ribosomal RNA", at positions 28 to 523 of the family's 1533-position model. The record is from RNAcentral.
GAUGAACGCUGGCGGCGUGCCUAAUACAUGCAAGUCGAGCGAAUGGAUUGAGAGCUUGCUCUUAUGAAGUUAGCGGCGGACGGGUGAGUAACACGUGGGUAACCUGCCCAUAAGACUGGGAUAACUCCGGGAAACCGGGGCUAAUACCGGAUAACAUUUUGAACCGCAUGGUUCGAAAUUGAAAGGCGGCUUCGGCUGUCACUUAUGGAUGGACCCGCGUCGCAUUAGCUAGUUGGUGAGGUAACGGCUCACCAAGGCAACGAUGCGUAGCCGACCUGGGGGGGUGAGCGGCCACAAUGGGACUGAGACACGGCCCAGACUCCUACGGGAGGCAGCAGUAGGGAAUCUUCCGCAAUGGACGAAAGUCUGACGGAGCAACGCCGCGUGAGUGAUGAAGGCUUUCGGGUCGUAAAACUCUGUUGUUAGGGAAGAACAAGUGCUAGUUGAAUAAGCUGGCACCUUGACGGUACCUAACCAGAAAGCCACGGCUAACUACGUGCCAGCAGCCGCCGUAA